CCUACGGGAGGCAGCAGUGGGGAAUCUUGCGCAAUGGGCGAAGGCCUGACGCAGCCAUGCCGCGUGAAUGAUGAAGGUCUUAGGAUUGUAAAAUUCUUUCACCGGGGACGAUAAUGACGGUACCCGGAGAAGAAGCCCCGACUAACUUCGUGCCAGCAGCCGCGGUAAUACGAAGGGGGCUAGCGUUGCUCGGAAUUACUGGGCGUAAAGGGAGCGUAGGCGGAUAGUUUAGUCAGAGGUGAAAGCCCAGGGCUCAACCUUGGAAUUGCCUUUGAUACUGGCUAUCUUGAGUAUGGGAGAGGUUAGCGGAACUCCGAGUGUAGAGGUGAAAUUCGUAGAUAUUCGGAAGAACACCAGUGGCGAAGGCGGCUAACUGGCCCAUUACUGACGCUGAGGCUCGAAAGCGUGGGGAGCAAACAGGAUUAGAUACCCUGGUAGUCCACGCCGUAAACGAUGAGUGCUAGUUGUCGGCAUGCAUGCAUGUCGGUGACGCAGCUACGACAUAAGUACACUCCGCCGUCGGGAGGUACGGUCGGCGAAGAAUUAAAACUUAAAAGUAAGUAAGUAGACGUCGUAGAGACGCGACGACGACGACGACGGAGGAGGAG
RNAcentral lists this ribosomal RNA (608 nucleotides) under uncultured bacterium. RNAcentral describes it as "bacterial SSU rRNA". The stretch from base 1 to 518 matches the Rfam family "Bacterial small subunit ribosomal RNA", at positions 338 to 873 of the family's 1533-position model. The record is from RNAcentral.